Molecule: ribosomal RNA, 252 nt
Filed under: uncultured bacterium
Lineage: Bacteria
Description: partial 16S ribosomal RNA
Rfam family: Bacterial small subunit ribosomal RNA
Source: RNAcentral
CUGGGCUGGAUGAGUGGCGAACGGGUGAGUAACACGUGAGUAACCUGCCCUCUUCUUUGGGAUAACGGUCGGAAACGGCUGCUAAUACCGGGUAUUCACUGUCCUUCGCAUGGGGGGUGGUGGAAAGGUUUUUCUGUGGGGGAUGGGCUCGCGGCCUAUCAGCUUGUUGGUGGGGUGAUGGCUUACCAAGGCUUUGACGGGUAACCGGCCUGAGAGGGUGACCGGUCACAUUGGGACUGAGAUACGGCCCAG